RNAcentral lists this unclassified non-coding RNA (694 nucleotides) under Hevea brasiliensis (rubber tree). The record is from RNAcentral. Lineage: Eukaryota; Viridiplantae; Streptophyta; Magnoliopsida; Malpighiales; Euphorbiaceae.
GGAAAACUGAACUCCGAAACGACAACUGAUUUGAGGGCUUAGGGUUCCGACCGAAUCACUCUCGGAUUGAGAAUUCAUUGGAGACUUCAUUUUUUCAGAACAGGAAAUGAAAGGGACAGAGAUUUUUGUUGGUGGUUUGGCCCGUACUACUACUGAAAGCAAAAUUCACGAGGUAUUUUCUUCAUGCGGUGAGAUUGUGGAAAUAAGGUUGAUAAAAGACCAGAUAGGCAAUGCCAAGGGGUUCUGCUUUGUACGAUUUGCAACAAAAUAUGCUGCUGACAAAGCUCUGAAGGAAAAAUCUGGAUAUGUGCUAGAUGGGAAGAAAAUUGGGAUUCGCCCCUCAGUUGAGCAGGACACACUAUUUCUUGGAAAUCUUAACAAAGGUUGGGGUGCUGAGGAAUUUGAGAGUAUUGUGCGCCAGGUUUUUCCAGAUGUUACAUCUGUUGAUCUUGCAAUUCUUGGAGAUGUCCAACUUGGUCAGAAGCAACGGAAUCGGGGAUUUGCCUUUGUGAAAUUUUCAUCUCAUGCUGCUGCAGCUCGUGCUUUACGGGUAGGCUCCCAAUCUGAUUUUCUCAUCGGUGGCAACUUGCAUCCAUCUGUACAGUGGGCUGAGGAGGAAUCUGAAGUUGAUCCUAAUGAACUUGCUCAGAUCAAAGUAGCCUUUGUCAGAAAUGUACCUCCUGGUGCUGAUGAA